Molecule: small nuclear RNA, 22 nt
Filed under: Arabidopsis thaliana (thale cress)
Lineage: Eukaryota; Viridiplantae; Streptophyta; Magnoliopsida; Brassicales; Brassicaceae
Description: snRNA_16049
Source: RNAcentral
ACUUAUCUCACAGUAUAACCCC